This 1140-nucleotide long non-coding RNA is filed under the name Phascolarctos cinereus (koala). RNAcentral's name for it is "lncRNA (ENSPCIG00000023980.2)". Lineage: Eukaryota; Metazoa; Chordata; Mammalia; Diprotodontia; Phascolarctidae. The record is from RNAcentral.
AUGAAAGGAAAGCAGGGGAAGAGAAAAAGCAAAAUGCCCAGGGGCCCUCGGUGCACAGAUCCCCAAGUAGCGAAAUGGGGAUGCCCAAGGGAGAAGGGGAGCCCCCACAGACGGGAAAGAGGGACAAGGAGAAGAGGAGCAGGGUUAGGAAAUGGCAGAGAAGCGGGGACCGGCGACACGGGCAGGAGCCUGGUAUCGAGGAGGCGGAUGCCCAGAAGGGGAAGCCGCCGGGCGGCAGGAGCCAAAAAGUUCGAGGCAGAAAAUGAAUGGGGGGCAGACCCGGCACAGGUCCGGGGGAGGAGGCGGCGGCGGCCGGCCUGGAAGACGGACCCGGGAGGCGGAGGACCCGAGGACCGCUCCGGCCGCGGCCGGGGGAGGGGGCGGCGGAGGCGGGGUGGCCAAGCCCUCCCAGCGGCGGCGGUUACCUUCUCGCCCGGCUCGGCCCCCGGGGCCUCCCGGGAGGCAUCCACCUCAGGUGUCGGGGGAUCCCCACGCGCCGGCGCCGAGGGGCGGGGACGGAGCCCCGGGGCUGAGGUGCGGGCGGGGGGGCUCGGGCGGGCCUCGGCUCCGCGGCGGCAGCGGCGGCGGCGGCGGGGGCAGCGGGCUCCGCGCCUCCUCCCUCCCCAGCCCGGAGGGAAGGGGGGCGGGGUGACCAAGCGACGGUCCCGGCCGCGGCGCACCCGCCCGCCCGCCGGGCUCCUCCUCCUCCUCCUCCUCCUCCUCCUCGGCCGGGGCCGGGCCGGGCAGCGGGCACAGGCGGCAGCUCCGCUCUGGCCUCCGGGGCUCCCUCCAGGGCCCUGUCACUUCCUGCCAAGCGGGGAGGAGGGGGCGGGUGGGCUGGCAGGCUGGGGAUGGAGGAGAGGGGGGCUGGCGGAGGAGGUGCUUCCGGGGCAGCCCGAUCCCUCCACUCCUCUCCCUCUCCUCUCCUCGCCUCCCUCCCUCCCUCGCUUCCCUCGUUUCCUGCCCGGGCCCGUUGCCAUGGCGACGCAGCUCUUCGGCCUCCCUCGGCCUGGCUGGGCCCCAGUUCCUCCCCCUCCUCCCCAACCCCCUCGACCCUCUUUCUCUGUUCUGCUUCUUGGUUGGAGGGACGAGGGGGCCAAAGUUCUGACUCUAGCGGGGGUUCAGAGAGAAAGGGGGUGA